GAAAUGCGAUAAGUAAUGUGAAUUGCAGAAUUCAGAGAAUCAUCGAAUCUUUGAACGCACACUGCGCCCCCUGGUAUUCCGGGGGGCAUGCCUGUUCUCGCGUCAUCUCACCACUCAAGCCUCGCUUGGUAUUGGGCGACGCGGUCCGCCGCGCGCCUCAAAUCGACCGGCUGGGUCUUCUGUCCCCUCAGCGUUGUGGAAACUAUUCGCUAAAGGGUGCCACGGGAGGCCACGCCUAAAAACAAACCCAUUUCUAAGGUUGACCUCGGAUCAGGUAGGGAUACCCGCUGAACUUAA
This 297-nucleotide unclassified non-coding RNA is filed under the name uncultured Dothideomycetes. RNAcentral describes it as "sequence contains ITS1". The stretch from base 1 to 105 matches the Rfam family "5.8S ribosomal RNA", at positions 50 to 154 of the family's 154-position model. The record is from RNAcentral. Lineage: Eukaryota; Fungi; Ascomycota; Dothideomycetes.